RNAcentral lists this ribosomal RNA (1016 nucleotides) under Paramecium sp. RNAcentral's name for it is "partial small subunit ribosomal RNA". The stretch from base 1 to 880 matches the Rfam family "Bacterial small subunit ribosomal RNA", at positions 524 to 1533 of the family's 1533-position model. Lineage: Eukaryota; Ciliophora; Oligohymenophorea; Peniculida; Parameciidae. The record is from RNAcentral.
UACAUGAGUAGCAAACGUUAAUCGUCUUUACUGAGCGUACAGCGUAGGUUGGUGGUUAAAAACUAAUAACUAAAUUUAAUUUAAAAAAUAUUAGAAAAAAUAACUUACGAUUUUUUUUUAUAUAAACUGAGCUUGUAAAUUAGUGAUGAAAUAUGUUUAGUUUACAGGAACAUUCGAUGCGAAAGUAGUUUAUAGAAAAAAAAUAACAUUUUUCUACGAAGGUGUAGGUGACGACAAGGAAUUGUGCCCCUAAUAGUCUAUACAAUAAAAUAUGAGUAUUAAAAAAUAAGCUAACGCAAAAUACUCCGCUUGGGUAAUACAGUCGCAAGGUUGAAACUUAACAGAAUUGGCGGGAGUUUGUUCAAACGGUGGAACAUGUGGUUUAAUGCGAUAAUCCACGUAAAAUCUUACCAGCAUUAAAACUUUUCUUUUAGUUAAACUUAAUAGUUUAAACUUAUGAAAUUUUUAAGGUAUUGCAUGGCUGUCGUCAGCUCGUGUUGUGAAAUGUGGAAUUAACUUUUAUGAACGAGCGUAACCCCUAAUUUAAAUAUUAAAUUAGAUUACCUAUUUUUAUUCGCUAAGCUUUAUUUUUUAGAUAAAAAUAGUUAAUCUUAAAUAAUGGGGCCGAAGUCAAGUCCUUACGGUCUGCGUAUGCUGGGCUACACACGUGUUACAGUGGUAAAAACAAAAAAAGAAUAAGGUUUAAACUUUAAUUUUUUUAAAAAUUAUCGAAGUUCGAAUUGUUUUCUGAAACUUGAAAGCAUGAAGCAGAAAUCGUUAGUAAUCGUAAAUAAGCACGUUACGGUGAAAUUUUAGUCAAACUCUGCACACACUGCCCAUCACGCUCAAAAAGUUGUUUACGAUGAAGUUGCUCACCCUUAACUUAUUAAUUUUUAGUAAGGCAGUUCCAUAUUUAUAUAAGAUAUAAUAUUCUUAUGUAAUUAUAAGUUUACUUUAUGUGAACUCUAGUGUAAUAAAGAGUAACAAACUUAUAUUCGAUUAUUAGAGUGAAGUUG